CUGACUGCUAUCGGAUUGAUACUAAGCCAUGCGGGUCAUUGUAGUAAUACAAGGCAGACGGCUCAGUAACGCGUAGUCAACCUAACCUAUGGACGGGAAUAACCUCGGGAAACUGAGUAUAAUGCCCGAUAGAACAUUAUGCCUGGAAUGGUUUAUGUUCCAAAUGAUUUAUCGCCGUAGGAUGGGACUGCGGCCUAUCAGUUUGUUGGUGAGGUAAUGGCCCACCAAGACUAUUACAGGUACGGGCUCUGAGAGGAGUAGCCCGGAGAUGGGUACUGAGACACGGACCCAGGCCCUAUGGGGCGCAGCAGGCGAGAAAACUUUGCAAUGUGCGAAAGCACGACAAGGUUAAUCCGAGUGGUUUCUGCUAAAGGAACCUUUUGUCGGUCCUAGAAACACCGAUGAAUAAGGGGUGGGCAAGUUCUGGUGUCAGCCGCCGCGGUAAAACCAGCACCUCAAGUGGUCAGGAUGAUUAUUGGGCCUAAAGCAUCCGUAGCCGGCUCUAUAAGUUUUCGGUUAAAUCUGUACGCUCAACGUACAGGCUGCCGGGAAUACUGUAGAGCUAGGGAGUGGGAGAGGUAGACGGUACUCGGUAGGAAGGGGGUAAAAAUCCUUUGAUCUAAUUGAUGACCCACCUGUGGCGAAGGCCGGUCUACCAGAACACGUCCGACGGUGAGGGGAUGAAAGCUGGGGGGAGCAAACCGGGAUUAGAUACCC
This 717-nucleotide ribosomal RNA is filed under the name uncultured marine archaeon. RNAcentral's name for it is "bacterial SSU rRNA". It matches the Rfam family "Archaeal small subunit ribosomal RNA", at positions 23 to 738 of the family's 1478-position model. The record is from RNAcentral.